This 250-nucleotide ribosomal RNA is filed under the name uncultured bacterium. RNAcentral describes it as "partial 16S ribosomal RNA". It matches the Rfam family "Bacterial small subunit ribosomal RNA", at positions 331 to 581 of the family's 1533-position model. The record is from RNAcentral.
UCGGUCCACGGGGGGCAGCAGUGAGGAAUAUUGGUCAAUGGGCGCGAGCCUGAACCAGCCAAGUCGCGUGAGGGAAGACGGUCCUAUGGAUUGUAAACCUCUGUUGUCGGGGAGCAAAAGACGCCACGCGUGGCGUUCCGAGAGGACACGAAGAAAAAGCAUCGGCUAACUCCGUGCGAGCAGCCGCGGUAAUACGGAGGAUGCGAGCGUGAUCCGGGUUUAUUGGGUUUAAAGGGUGCGCAGGCGGAAG